RNAcentral lists this ribosomal RNA (482 nucleotides) under uncultured bacterium. RNAcentral's name for it is "partial 16S ribosomal RNA". It matches the Rfam family "Bacterial small subunit ribosomal RNA", at positions 30 to 507 of the family's 1533-position model. The record is from RNAcentral.
AUUGAACGCUGGCGGCAUGCCUUACACAUGCAAGUCGAACGGUAACAGGUCUUCGGAUGCUGACGAGUGGCGAACGGGUGAGUAAUACAUCGGAACGUGCCCGAUCGUGGGGGAUAACGAGGCGAAAGCUUUGCUAAUACCGCAUACGAUCUACGGAUGAAAGCGGGGGAUCUUCGGACCUCGCGCGGACGGAGCGGCCGAUGGCAGAUUAGGUAGUUGGUGGGAUAAAAGCUUACCAAGCCGACGAUCUGUAGCUGGUCUGAGAGGAUGAUCAGCCACACUGGGACUGAGACACGGCCCAGACUCCUACGGGAGGCAGCAGUGGGGAAUUUUGGACAAUGGGCGAAAGCCCGAUCCAGCCAUGCCGCGUGCAGGAUGAAGGCCUUCGGGUUGUAAACUGCUUUUGUACGGAACGAAAAGCCUCUUUCUAAUAAAGAGGGGUCAUGACGGUACCGUAAGAAUAAGCACCGGCUAACUACGUG